RNAcentral lists this ribosomal RNA (424 nucleotides) under uncultured bacterium. Its description in RNAcentral is "bacterial SSU rRNA". It matches the Rfam family "Bacterial small subunit ribosomal RNA", at positions 355 to 796 of the family's 1533-position model. The record is from RNAcentral.
UGGGGAAUAUUGGACAAUGGGCGCAAGCCUGAUCCAGCCAUGCCGCGUGAAUGAUGAAGGCCUUAGGGUUGUAAAGUUCUUUUGUCAGGGAAGAUAAUGACGGUACCUGAAGAAUAAGCACCGGCUAACUUCGUGCCAGCAGCCGCGGUAAUACGAAGGGUGCUAGCGUUGUUCGGAAUUACUGGGCGUAAAGCGCGCGUAGGCGGCUUUACAAGUCAGGGGUGAAAUCCCACGGCUCAACCGUGGAAUUGCCUUUGAAACUGUAAAGCUAGAGUGUCGGAGGGGAUAGCGGAAUUGCUAAUGUAGAGGUGAAAUUCGUAGAUAUUAGCAGGAACACCGGUGGCGAAGGCGGCUAUCUGGACGACAACUGACGCUGAGGCGCGAAAGCAUGGGGAUCAAACAGGAUUAGAUACCCCCGUAGUCC